Molecule: long non-coding RNA, 1554 nt
Organism: Mirounga angustirostris (Northern elephant seal)
Lineage: Eukaryota; Metazoa; Chordata; Mammalia; Carnivora; Phocidae
Exons: 3
Source: RefSeq, a predicted model, not a curated record
AGGAAGCUCGGGGCACCGAACCCCGCCCCUGGGGGGCCGGCCAGGGGCUCUGGGCUGGAAGGCUCGCCCGCCGGUGAGCGGCCUCGGCCCCGACGCACGCCCCGUCUGCUCUGAGCCUCGCUCUCCCCGGGCGUGCGCUCGCGCCCCUCCGGCCCUGCCCCCCCACCUCCCCGCGGCUCGGCGGGCGCGGAGGGGGCAAUUCUGGUGUCGAAGGACGGAACAGCCGGGCUGUUCCUAGGAGGGGCCGCCCCCAUUGGCUGCCCUCCUCCGCCCCGCCCCCCGCGCCGCCCGUUACGUAACCCUUCCCCCCCCGCCCCCCGGCCUCCGCUGGGGUUGGGGGCCAGGAAAGGAGAGGCCCCGGCCCUUCCCUGGGCGCGGUCCUGCGUGGUUCAGCAACCUUCCCUGCCGCUUAACGCCCAGGGGGAAACUGAGGCCGUUGUCUAGAGGGGCCCAGCGAGGUGAGAAUUGAUGUCCUUUUACAGUUGAGGAAACCAAGAGGUGGAGUAACUCCUCCAGAAAAAGACACAGCGAGAGAGGGAACACAAGCAAGUUGCUGAGUGGGAGAGGGAGAAGCAGGCUUCCCGCCGAGCAGGGAGCCCGAUGCGGGGCUCGAUCCCAGGACCCUGGGAUCAUGACCUGAGCCGAAGGCAGACGCUUAAGGACUGAGCCACCCCGGCGCCCCUUGACUUCUGUUUUAAAGAGUGCUUAAGAGAAGGACAAAAACGAGGUAAGAAAGGUGGCUGCUACAGUCAAUGAUACGGUAAUGGAGUUUCCAGAAAGAGGUUAUAACAAAAAGCGAAAGAAGGUUAAGAAGAAAACCAGUAUGUUUUAAAGGGGAAAAGGAGGGAUAAUGAUGAGGGAACUCCUCAGGCCCCCAAACCAGGAGUACCUAUAAAAUAUUCAGGCACCUCAAGCCUGAACAACCAAAUGGUCCUACAACCAAGCACUAUCAGGUUCAAAGGAGUCUGGAAAGAGGAGUCGGGAAGGAGGGGGUCCUCAAUUUUGACAAGGCCAGCAGGUGUCGCACACUGAAUCCCAGGGAGCGAGAGCCAGGUUCCGUGGGACCGCCUGGCCCCACCCCACCAGUCUCAAGAGGCAGCGACCCAGGCCGGCGGGUAUGCUUGCAGCCCUUCCAGGACUUGUGCCGACGGGACCACAGCACCCCGCCCAGAGUCUCCACCAUGUCCCUCAAACAUGGACUGUGCAAGCCCAGCUGUUCCGACUAAGAAGGCCCUUUCUGGGGCACUCGAUUCCUGCGAAGCCAGGAAGACUUCACUGAACUCCAACGUAGGCCGGGAGUGAAGGCGCGCUCUGCACUCUGGGAACUGUAGUCCUCAGACGCCUCACGCUCAGACUGGAGCAAGUGACCUACUUUCUCUGCACACUACACUUCCCUAUGUGCUUUGCGAAGGUUCAGCCAGCGAAUUACGCAUGCCCGGUAAGGGGAGCUGGCCGAGGUUCGGAGAACCGAGGAAAAGUUUCCGAUGCACAUGCGCGCUGUGGUGGACGCCCCCAUCCCCCCGCCCACCGCUUAAUACAUUUUAUAUAAAUUUA